CAGCCGCGGUAAUACACGCAAGCCUGUAACAGCGACGCCGCGUGAGUGAAGAAGGCCUUCGGGUUGUAAAGCUCUUUUAGUGGGGAAGAUAAUGACGGUACCCACAGAAAAAGCCCCGGCUAACUUCGUGCCAGCAGCCGCGAGUAAUACAAUACAC
This 157-nucleotide ribosomal RNA is filed under the name uncultured Rickettsiales bacterium. RNAcentral's name for it is "partial 16S ribosomal RNA". It matches the Rfam family "Bacterial small subunit ribosomal RNA", at positions 352 to 533 of the family's 1533-position model. The record is from RNAcentral. Lineage: Bacteria; Pseudomonadati; Pseudomonadota; Alphaproteobacteria; Rickettsiales.